RNAcentral lists this long non-coding RNA (3568 nucleotides) under Mus caroli (Ryukyu mouse). RNAcentral's name for it is "lncRNA (MGP_CAROLIEiJ_G0005071.1)". The record is from RNAcentral. Lineage: Eukaryota; Metazoa; Chordata; Mammalia; Rodentia; Muridae.
GGUCGUUGCAGCCGCAGCAGCUGUCUGGAAGAGGGCGGAUUGGAAGAUAAGGAGAAUGAGAAGGAUGAGACUGUUAAUCUCCAAACUAAAGAAUACAUGAUUCUGUGGUUUAUUCAAGAUCUUAACAAAGGAUUUCCACUUGAAAUUGGAUUAUCUGUGAUGGAGCUAUUCGCUGGAGAAAUUUGACUCUCUCUCUCCCUCAUGAGCUGUUGACAACCAGUAGCUGUUCAUCUGGGUGUGGAGCCUGCUCACAUCAUGGAAGACAGGAAAGACAUCAUGGAAGAGAGAAAGACAGAGAGAGAACAAAGACAUGAUUUAAAGUCUAAGAAUAUGACCUACUUUUCCCAGUUAUGCCCCAUCUCCUACUGUUUCCAGAACUUCUCAAAAUAGCAUCAUGAACUGAGGACAGACCUGCUAAUACAUGAUCUGUUUUUUUUUUUUUUUUUUUUUUUUUUUUUUGAGUGACUCAUCAUAUUCAAACCACUACAUGGUCAGAGAAGAAAAAUAAAAAGGCUUACAUAUAUGCUGGAUGAAUACACCUACAAUAUACAGGCCUCUGGACCUCUUUUCUCCAUCUUAACUAACACCUAUCAUUUAUCUAAGUUCCUCAAGAUUUGUUGAGAUGGGAGUUGGGAGGAGAAGAGAAUGAUAACUCCAUCCCCACUUUCCAUCUCUGGUUCUUCCUCCUCCUCCUCCUCCUUAUCCUCUUCCUUUUCUUCUUCCUCCUCCUCCUCCUCCUUAGAUUUAUUUUAUUUAUAUGAGUAUGCUGUAGCUAUCUUCAGAAACAUCAGAAGAGGGAAUUGGAUUCCAUUAAGGAUGGUUGUGAGCUACUAAGUGAUUGCUGAGAAUUGAACUCAGGACCUCUGGAAGAACAGCCAGUGCUCUUAACCACUGAGCCAUCUCUCCAGCUCCUACUUGUUUCUUUCUUGUUACCUCUCUUUUCCAAAUGUUAGCUGGCCAGCAGCAAGCAACCAGACCUAGUCCAGGUAAUAUUCCUGGCAAUGAGGUAGGCUAGUGACCAAAUCUACAACCCAUGGCCUUUGAGGGAUAUUUGAGGUCCAAAAUAUAAGAAAGAUUAUCCUCCUCCACCCCACCCGUGCACUGACAGGAAAUAUUAAUGCCCAAUAUGAAACAUAGCUAAUCUCUUGAAAUUAUCACUGGGUUCACAGGUUAAGAAUAAAGCAAAUCCAAGUUGAUAACCACGUAAUAUAUUACUGUGGCCAGGACUCACACAUAUUAUCUACCUUCUUAAUAAGGAAAUCAGCAUUCCUUUUUGGGUUCUUAUUAUCAUGGAUAAAAGAAUUUUAAAACAAUGGAAGAAUCAUUUUAUUAGAGUUUGAAAGAAAAACAACAUAACAGGCAAACUGUAAACCUUAGCAGCUGAUGGGAUGAGGGAAAUGAAACAAAGCAAGCCAGGCCUUUGGAGUUAGGGGUAAAAAUAAACCAUCCUGUUCAGCAAUGGGAAUCAGUCAGCAGCUGCAUGACAGAGGGAGAGAGGCUUCAGAGAAAGGAUGAGAAAGUCCUGAGUGUAACGGGAAUCAUGUUUAGGUUUGGGGCCAGUAUCUGAAAGAAAAAUAUGGAAGAAAAUGUGAACGUUAUUUUUUGUUGUUAUUUCCAGAGCUAAGUACACCAGGCAGGCUUAGUAGGGGUUCAGGUGCAUAUGCAGGCCACGAUUUCUUUAUCCAUCCAUCCAGAGCUUUAAGCAGCUGCAUCCAAAGAGGAGCUUCUGGGAAGGCUAAGUGCAUUAUCUCAUUAAGGGGUGAUUAUUUCUCCAGGCUUCUGGCCAUACAGUCUACAAGCCUCGCUGAAUUAACUCUCAAAGAAGACACAGUAUGUAAUGAUCUAAUUCUUGGAGCAGAACAGAGUGUCAUAUCUCCAGCUAGGGACAGAAAUAAAAUCCGUUACAUUAACCAGGAAGUAGUUUCUUUAAUGGCCUUCGAUAGAGCCCCAAUAUCUUUAUGUUUUCAUGUGGGAUUUUAAGUCCUAAACUGGGGCAUUUGUAGUGUUUAACUCUCUGUGUUACACAGGAAACAGGAGGUGUUAUCCAAAACCAACCAUAUUUCUAGUACUUAUUCGUGUUUAAUUAAAAUACAUACCCUUUAGAUAGCAAUUCUGUUGUGGGGUAUACACCGGAGAAGACUGCUCAGAAAAGGGUUUAAGCCAAUAGGAAGUUUUUAUUAACCUGUCAGCCACGGCACUGGGUGUUCAGGAUCCCAGUGUAGUCCCUAUCCUUUCUCAGGGUAAGCUUUUAAACACAAAAACUAUCUUCUGGGUUGUCAUAGUUCAGGUAACAAGAACGGUUAGCCAGAAGUGGAACUACAGAAGCUAAAAAGCAAGGUUUGUAUAUUUAGAGACUUCCCCAGAAAAAAAUGGAUUCUGAUGGACUUUGAUAGAUGUGACCUUUGUUUUCAUUUUGGCAUACUGUCCAAGUGCUGAAUUUUAUGGGUUGAUUGGUACUUCCAUCCUGGAGUCAGUUGUGUUAAGGUCUGGAGGCCUAUUAAAGCCUGCGGCCCUGUUAUAGUUCUUAAUUUCCCUCCCAUCAUAUUCCUGAAAAUCAGUAUUUGCCAUGUAUCUCAGAAUUUGAUCAUUUCAGAAUAUAAGUAGAAUCACACAGUAUUUGUUCUUCUUUGAGACUAUUUUCUUCUUAUCAAUGGUAGCUAACCCACCAAGAGCCAAUAUUUAUAUAUCUCCAUCUUUAAUCUCUCAUACCUUGUAAAACUUUUAUUUCCAUAAAUCCCCAUGCCUACUCCUGGAACCACUGGCCUGAAGCUGCUGACCUUCUCCUCAAUUCCUUCAUUUCCUUUGUACCAAUUAUUUUAAAAACUGUCUUAGUUAGAGUUUUACUGCUGUGAAAGAUAUCAUGACCAAAGCAACUCUUAUAAGGACAAUAUGUAAUUGGGUCUGGCUUACAGGUUCAGAGAUUCAGUCUAUUAUCACCAAGGUGGGAACAUAGCAGCAUCCAGGCAGGCAUGGUGCAGGAGGAGCUGAGAGUUUUCCAUCUUCAUCUGAAGACUGCUAGCAGAAUACUGGCUUCCAGGCAUCUAGGUCUAGGAUAUUAAAGCUCAUUCCCAAAGUUACACAGGUACUCCAACAAGGCUACGCCUCCUAAGAGUGCCUCUCCCCGGGCCAAACAUAUAAAACCCACUAUACUAAACAAUCAGGAAAGCCUGUGGGGUUGGAUUCCAGCCUAUGAGAAAAAAGCAGCCAUCUUGUUUGUUGGAGAAAGCAAGAGAGCAGUCCUGCCCCAUUGUACUGCUAACCUGUUUUUGGGAGCUUCUCACUUUUUUUUUUUUUUUAAGUUUCUUUUUUGAGCUCCUUUCACGGUUCUCAUGUGUUCCUUUGUGUGACACAGAGAUUAUUCUUGUUUCUAACCCUUCUAUAACUGCUCUAUGUGACUCACGGUGUCACAUGUCUUUUUAAGGUGAAAAGUAUCUAACUGCAUAUGCAUACCACGAUUUAUUUAUCCACCCAUAGUCAUAAAUAAAUAUUUAGGUUAAUCUAGAUAAAUAUUUAGGUUGUUAGUGUACCUGGACUACUGUAUAUAAUGCUAUAAUAAACAUGAGAAUGC